UUCAGCUAGCGCUUUGCAACUUUCAUAUGUGUCACACCCUCUGAAGCUAAGCAGGGCUGAGCCUGGUCAGUACCUGGAUGGGAGACCACAUGGGAAAGCUAGGUCGCUGCUGGAA
Danio rerio (zebrafish) is the source of this 115-nucleotide ribosomal RNA. The record is from Ensembl. Lineage: Eukaryota; Metazoa; Chordata; Actinopteri; Cypriniformes; Danionidae.